RNAcentral lists this ribosomal RNA (364 nucleotides) under uncultured bacterium. Its description in RNAcentral is "bacterial SSU rRNA". It matches the Rfam family "Bacterial small subunit ribosomal RNA", at positions 29 to 419 of the family's 1533-position model. The record is from RNAcentral.
AACGAACGCUGGCGGCAGGCCUAACACAUGCAAGUCGAGCGGGACCUUCGGGUCUAGCGGCGGACGGGUUAGUAACGCGUGGGAACGUGCCCAAAGGUACGGAAUAGCCUCGGGAAACUGAGAGUAAUACCGUAUGUGCCCCUCGGGGGAAAGAUUUAUCGCCUUUGGAUCGGCCCGCGUUGGAUUAGGUAGUUGGUGGGGUAAUGGCCUACCAAGCCGACGAUCCAUAGCUGGUUUGAGAGGAUGAUCAGCAACACUGGGACUGAGACACGGCCCAGACUCCUACGGGAGGCAGCAGUGGGGAAUCUUAGACAAUGGGGGAAACCCGUGAUCCAGCCAUGCCGCGUGUGUGAAGAAGGCCUCG